CUCGCCUACAUGAAGUCGGAAUUGCUAGUAAUCGCGGAUCAGCAUGCCGCGGUGAAUACGUUCCCGGGCCUUGUACACACCGCCCGUCACACCAUGGGAGUCGGUAACACCCGAAGCCUGUAGUCUAACCGCAAGGAGGACGCAGUCGAAGGUGGGAUUGAUGACUGGGGUGAAGUCGUAACAAGGUAAC
Molecule: ribosomal RNA, 190 nt
Filed under: uncultured bacterium
Lineage: Bacteria
Description: partial 16S ribosomal RNA
Rfam family: Bacterial small subunit ribosomal RNA
Source: RNAcentral